RNAcentral lists this ribosomal RNA (188 nucleotides) under uncultured bacterium. Its description in RNAcentral is "partial 16S ribosomal RNA". It matches the Rfam family "Bacterial small subunit ribosomal RNA", at positions 1315 to 1500 of the family's 1533-position model. The record is from RNAcentral.
CCUACAUGAAGCUGGAGUUACUAGUAAUCGCAGAUCAGAAUGCUGCGGUGAAUGCGUUCCCGGGUCUUGUACACACCGCCCGUCACACCACGGAAGUUGGGGGCGCCCGAAGCCACUUAGCUAACCCCUUUGGGAAGCGAGUGUCGAAGGUGAAAUCAAUAACUGGGGUGAAGUCGUAACAAGGUAGC